UACGAAGGGGGCUAGCGUUGCUCGGAAUUACUGAGCGUAAAGCGCACGUAGGCGGUCUUUUAAGUCGGUGGUGAAAUCCUGGAGCUCAACUCCAGAACUGCCUUCGAUACUGGAAGACUUGAGUCCGGGAGAGGUGAGUGGAACUGCGAGUGUAGAGGUGAAAUUCGUAGAUAUUCGCAAGAACACCAGUGGCGAAGGCGGCUCACUGGCCCGGUACUGACGCUGAGGUGCGAAAGCGUGGGGAGCAAACAGG
RNAcentral lists this ribosomal RNA (253 nucleotides) under uncultured bacterium. RNAcentral describes it as "partial 16S ribosomal RNA". It matches the Rfam family "Bacterial small subunit ribosomal RNA", at positions 524 to 776 of the family's 1533-position model. The record is from RNAcentral.